Molecule: non-coding RNA, 624 nt
Organism: Trichonephila inaurata madagascariensis
Lineage: Eukaryota; Metazoa; Arthropoda; Arachnida; Araneae; Nephilidae
Source: the annotation of a GenBank genome assembly
AUUUACAAUUAAUAGGAGUAGACGGGGGUGGCAUUCGUGUUCCGACGCUGAAAUUCUUGGACCGUCAGAAGACGACCCACUGCGAAAGCAUUUGCCAAGAAUGCUUCCCUUAACCAAGAACAAAAGUCAGAGGCUCAAACAAGAUUCGAUACUUUUGUAAUUCUGACACUAAACGAUACCCGCCAGUGAUCCGGCUGCGUACGAACGUGACGCGCCGGGCAGGUUGCCCGGGAAACCUGAGUACAGGCUCCGGGGGAAGAAUGGUUGCAAAGCUGAAACUUAAAGGAAUUGACGGAGGGCCACUACCAGGAGUAGAGCCUAUGGCUUAAUUUGAUUGAACACGGGAAAACUUACCCGGCCCGGACACCUAACAGAUGGACCGAUUGAUAGCUCUUUGUAGAGGUUGUGGAUGGUGGUUCAUGACUGCAGUUGGAUCAUGGGGUCCCCUGUCUCGUUAAUUCCGAUAAACGAACAAGAUUCUUGCUUAUUAAAUACGGAUCAUUCCUACGAAUGGGAAUGGAGGCUUCUUAGAAGGACCAUCGGCUUCAAAGCCGUACGAAAAGGAGCGAUUGCAGGUCUGUGAUGCCCUUAGAUGUCCGGGGUCGCAAGUGCGCUACAGUAGAG